RNAcentral lists this non-coding RNA (21 nucleotides) under Caenorhabditis elegans. Lineage: Eukaryota; Metazoa; Nematoda; Chromadorea; Rhabditida; Rhabditidae. The record is from RNAcentral.
UGUUCUGUUAUUCAGUUGUUC